Long non-coding RNA from Prionailurus viverrinus (fishing cat), 485 nucleotides. RefSeq lists it as uncharacterized. Lineage: Eukaryota; Metazoa; Chordata; Mammalia; Carnivora; Felidae. The record is from RefSeq and is a predicted model, not a curated record. The transcript has 4 exons.
CGAGCACUGUGAAGUGAGGAGGGCGAGGCCCCGGUUUGUUUAACUGACCCGCGUAGCCUCUGUUUUGUCUUUGGUGGACAACGACCUUUGCUGGGAAGCUAGUCUACACACCACUCCACUCAAGCACCUCUAUGAAGGGAACAUGUGAAGAGGAGCAAAAGCCUCCAUCGACAACCACACCAACUUACCAGCCAUGACAUUAUUCCUACAGAGGAAAAUUGGACUAAGAAGAGAUGAGGAAACUGAGAACCAUAAAGUCACUCCAGCCUUCUGACUUCAGACCGUAGUUUAAUGAACUGUGCAGAGGGACUAGUAGCAGCAAUGGAGGAAGAUGAUCUGAAAAGCAAAAAGCAGCUCACUAGACUUUAAUCACCAAAAAUGAUUACUUCAAAUGAAGGAUUCAUACUAUCCCUUCUUCUAUACAUUAUGCAUAAUGUCUAUGAAUCAUAACAUCAGUUAAAUUUCCACUUUUAUAAAGUAUUUUC